UUCUGAACNCCCUUAGUCAGAAUCCGUGCUAGAAACGAUGAUGUUGGUGUCGCACAUUAGACUUGUGUUUAAAUAGAGCUUUGCUCGUGAACCAAAUAUGGUGGGCUGGGUUGUCUUUGUGGAAACGCUUAGGCGACUUGUCUACGAAUUGUAAUCAUAAUAUGGGCGGCGGUGAAUCCUUUGCAGACGACUUGAAUGGGAACGGGGUACUGUAAGUGGUAGAGUAGCCUUGUUGCUACGAUCCACUGAGGUUAAGCCCUUGU
This 263-nucleotide ribosomal RNA is filed under the name Armillaria borealis. Its description in RNAcentral is "partial 26S ribosomal RNA". It matches the Rfam family "Eukaryotic large subunit ribosomal RNA", at positions 3118 to 3388 of the family's 3401-position model. Lineage: Eukaryota; Fungi; Basidiomycota; Agaricomycetes; Agaricales; Physalacriaceae. The record is from RNAcentral.